Long non-coding RNA from Cotesia glomerata, 685 nucleotides. RefSeq lists it as uncharacterized. Lineage: Eukaryota; Metazoa; Arthropoda; Insecta; Hymenoptera; Braconidae. The record is from RefSeq and is a predicted model, not a curated record. The transcript has 2 exons.
UUUGGUUGUUAUACUGACAGUGUGCCUACUAAUUUUUAUUUGUACAUUAAAGAUAGAGAGUUGAAAAGAGUUGAAAUGUGUAAAUAUCUGGGAGUAGUUUUUGAUUGCCACAUGAAAUGGAACAAACAUAUUUCAGAACUAAUGAAAAAACUCAAGUACUUUACCUUCCUCUUUUACAAAUUAAGUAAUUGGAUAAACACAUCAUUACUGAAAAUCAUUUAUCAUGGUCUAUUUGAAAGUGUUAUAAACUAUGGAAUUAUAGCCUGGGGAGGUGCAUAUGAUAACACAUUAAAACCUAUUGUAAAUCUACAAAAUAAAAUGGUAAGCAAAAUAACAAAUUCUGAUGAUAUGUUAGGACCAUUGAAGAUUAAACAAUCUUUCGUUGUACAAGCCUUAGCCUAUUAUUUUUGUGAAUGUAAAACUUUGUACUCUGAUAGAGUAAUCAAUACAAGAUCUAGACAGUUAACAUUACCAAAAAUUAAUAGAACAAUAAGUACUAAAAGUGCAAUUUAUAUUGCAAUUAAAUACUUCAAUUUACUUCCUAGUAAUCUGAAAGAGCUAAAUUAUAAUAAAUGGUUAAGAAAGCAUAUUGUGAGGUGGAUAAGAUCAAUAAUACUUUAAUUCAUGAUAAAUUGUAUUUAUGUAAAAAUUUUGUAAAAUUAUUCUUAAUAUACUCUGUACACUA